Molecule: ribosomal RNA, 504 nt
Filed under: uncultured bacterium
Lineage: Bacteria
Description: bacterial SSU rRNA
Rfam family: Bacterial small subunit ribosomal RNA
Source: RNAcentral
UCCUGGCUUAGGAUGAACGCUGGCGGCGUGCCUAACACAUGCAAGUCGAGCGAGAUAUCCAUGACGAAUUCUUCGGAUGCCUGAAUGGAUGGAAAGCGGCGGACGGGUGAGUAACGCGUAGGUAACCUGCCCUGUACAAAGGGAUAGCCACUGGAAACGGUGAUUAAUACCUUAUGACACCGCAGCAUCACAUGGUGAAGCGGUCAAAGAUUUUAUCGGUACAGGAUGGACCUGCGUCUGAUUAGUUAGUUGGCGGGGUAACGGCCCACCAAGGCGACGAUCAGUAGCCGACCUGAGAGGGUGAUCGGCCACAUUGGAACUGAGACACGGUCCAAACUCCUACGGGAGGCAGCAGUGGGGAAUAUUGCACAAUGGGCGCAAGCCUGAUGCAGCAACGCCGCGUGAACGAAGAAGGCCUUUGGGUCGUAAAGUUCUGUUCUGAGGGAAGAAGAAAGUGACGGUACCUCAGGAGAAAGCCCCGGCUAACUACGUGCCAGCAGCUGC